GACGAACGCUGGCGCCGUGCUUAACACAUGCAAGUCGAACGCUGAAGCUCAGCUUUUGUUGGGUGGAUGAGUGGCGAACGGGUGAGUAACACGUGAGUAACCUGCCUCCUUCUUUGGGAUAACGCCCGGAAACGGGUGCUAAUACUGGAUAUUCACUGGUCUUCGCAUGGGGGUUGGUGGAAAGGGUUUUUCUGGUGGGGGAUGGGCUCGCGGCCUAUCAGCUUGUUGGUGGGGUGAUGGCCUACCAAGGCUUUGACGGGUAGCCGGCCUGAGAGGGUGACCGGUAACAUUGGGACUGAGAUACGGCCCAGACUACGACGGGAGGCAGAAGUGGGGAAUAUUGCACAAUGGGUGCAAGCCUGAUGCAGCGACGCCGCGGGAGGGAUGGAGGCCGUCGGGUUGUGAACCUCUGUAGCUCAUGGUCAAGCCGCAACAAUGGUUGUGGUGAGGGUAGUGGGUAAAGAAGCGCCGGCUAACUACGUG
RNAcentral lists this ribosomal RNA (483 nucleotides) under uncultured bacterium. RNAcentral's name for it is "partial 16S ribosomal RNA". It matches the Rfam family "Bacterial small subunit ribosomal RNA", at positions 28 to 507 of the family's 1533-position model. The record is from RNAcentral.